Molecule: long non-coding RNA, 502 nt
Organism: Gadus chalcogrammus (walleye pollock)
Lineage: Eukaryota; Metazoa; Chordata; Actinopteri; Gadiformes; Gadidae
Exons: 2
Source: RefSeq, a predicted model, not a curated record
AAAGCCAUCAGUCCUAAACACUUAAGGGUGUGUUCUAAUCUCUCCUAAACCAUAUAAAACCUGAUGUGGUUUCAUAUGGACUGUAUUGAUCGACAUCCAGAACAAAAAUGAAGGCACCGGCUAAACUCACGACCAUCAAAACCAAAGUGGGACAGAAGAAACGGAAAGACGCUUACCGCGACUUCAUCAACCGAGCUCACCAAGAGGGACCUGAUGUUCUUCCAGGCGCCAGCAGUGCGCUCCAGACCGACCAUCCCGGCUGUCCCAGGCGGGUUCUUUUGGGACUGGUAGCCCUGGAGGCAAGCCGGAUUUCAAAGACUUCCAGUUCCAGGAGACGUCGCAUCACGCCGCAUGAGUUGAACGCUGCCCUGGCUCUUGUCCUAGGGAGGACCCCAGCCGCUGCUUGAUGGACAACAUAAUGUAUAUAUCUAUAUAUUUUUUAAGAUGUAAAUUAUUUUUAGAGUUGUAUGCGUGUUGUAUUAAAGAUUUUUUUUAAACUCUU